Drosophila virilis is the source of this 1225-nucleotide non-coding RNA. Lineage: Eukaryota; Metazoa; Arthropoda; Insecta; Diptera; Drosophilidae. The record is from RefSeq and is a predicted model, not a curated record.
AACAUUGAAAUUUAUUUUGGAGCCGGCAUUUGGAACAAGUUUUGCUUUAUUCCUUCUUUAUUCGGAUAUUCUAGGAAAUGUGCCGAAAACUCGAAUUGAAGCUCGAAGAAGCAACCCACUGCCGCGUGAUAUUUCUCUCUCUUGAAGUAAGUCUCCACCGGCUUAUCGCCUCGAAAAAGAAAAAAACAAGAAAAAAAAAAUUGUAGGGGCUUUUGAGUGUUGUGAAUAAUGUUCCAAUGCUAAUGAGGGCGCGCGCUUACUCAUCGGUGAGCAGGGCAAAGAGGGCGACGGACGAGGAGGAGGCAGGUCAGCAGCCAAUAAAAGGAGAGUAAAAAUAGGCAUAACGCAUGCCUCAAAUAUGUAUGCGUGCGAUAUAUGCCACAAAGGCAGCACCAGCAGCAGCAGCAGCAGCAGCAUUGGAAGAGGCUUAAACUUUUGUAGAUACAAACAAGUAAAAUGCGCUAGAUAAGAGUGCACGACCAUGAGCUACCCUGUUUCCCAUGCAAAAACUUUAUGAAAAUCCCAGACGCUGAUGAAACUGGUAACUACGAACAAUGGCAAGCUCGAGUUUGAGUUCGGGUCUUCACCUCGAGUUCCAGUUCGCGCGCGCAGCAGCAGACAAAGAGCAGCCUUUGUGCAGACACAGACACACAUGCAAGCACAAUGAAAUUCUAAUAAGAACGUCGAGCCGAUCGCAUUAGAAAAGUUCGAGAAAAUAUCGUAUGGGCACGGAGCGAUUGUAUGAGAACGACAUAGCGGAGCGGAGCGGGCGUAACAGGCAACAGGCCUGUCCUCUCAGUUGGUGAGUGCCAACUUGUUGUUUCCUUCUUGAAAAUUCCGGUUCUGUUUGUUGUUGGCUGCUGUGAGGGGCAAUGAGGGGUAGUUAGAAACAGAGAAUGGGCGACAGAGGCAGACGUAAUUAAUGAUCCGAAAAACGCCGACAGCAGCGUAUUGGAGAUUGUUGGAGACUACGAAAUGCAUGUCGGGCAGUUGUUCUCUUCGAAGAGACCAAACGAUAUACAGGUGCGGAUUAGGGUCACUCGGCAUGACGAAGACUGAGGAGUAGCCAUAAAUUGUGCGAUUGAAAUACAAAAAAAGAAGAACAGAAACACAAAAGUUGCAUUCAAUUGGGGUUCGACUAUGUCAACUGCACUUUAAAUUUUAAUGAUUGCCCAUCGCAUAUACAUAUGAAUUGCCAAAACAAUGUAAACAAUAAUACCUCAUA